Molecule: non-coding RNA, 615 nt
Organism: Plutella xylostella (diamondback moth)
Lineage: Eukaryota; Metazoa; Arthropoda; Insecta; Lepidoptera; Plutellidae
Source: RefSeq, a predicted model, not a curated record
UUAUAUUUAUACCUAUAAUAUAAUCAAAAUUAUUGAUUUGUAACGAUGACAAACGAAUUUAUUAACAAGGUCAUCAUUAUUAAUUGAGUUAAGUGCCAGGACAACAUUGGGUUACCGAAGAUGGAUGUCCUAUAAUGGGCCCUGAAGAACUGUUAUAAAAUAGCUAACGCAUGACAAGAUUUAAUUUGAGAAUUUUAAGGAUGAUAUUAUGGUUGCUGUUUGCAUUGCGUGAGAAAUAUCUUCUACACGAUAACAGCACAACUCGCAAAGAAGAAAUGGAACAUUAUAACUAUGUUAUUAUACGUUUAGUAGGUAUUUAACGGGUCCCCAGUUUAAAAAUGAGUAAAAUUUAUUUAGUAGUAAGAUAAUUAUUUGUUCAUACUGUUAAGAUAAUUGAUUACAUAUUAAUAAGUAACUACUUAGUAAUAAAAUUGUUGCUUAUUUAUAAUUUAAUUGUAGAAAACAACAAGAGAUGUAAAUUGUGAAAUUUAGUAACAUGUUGGUUCUCAUUGUUGUAAUUCUACAAUUUUUGAAUUUGUUUACUUUUGUUCAUAAUUAUUCUGCAUACAGACUAAUAAUAUUUACUUGUUUAGUGAAAUAAAGUUCUUUUUCUUA